This 492-nucleotide ribosomal RNA is filed under the name uncultured bacterium. RNAcentral describes it as "partial 16S ribosomal RNA". It matches the Rfam family "Bacterial small subunit ribosomal RNA", at positions 29 to 507 of the family's 1533-position model. The record is from RNAcentral.
AGUGAACGCUGGCGGUAGGCCUAACACAUGCAAGUCGAACGGCAGCACAGUAAGAGCUUGCUCUUACGGGUGGCGAGUGGCGGACGGGUGAGGUAUACAUCGUAAUCUACUUUUUCGUGUGUGAUUACGUAGGGUAACUUACUCUAAUACCGCAUACGUCCUACGGGUGAAAUCAUUGGAUCUUCGGACCUUGCGCGUUUUAAUUAGCCGAUGUCGGAUUAGCUAGUUGGCGGGGUAAAGGCCCACCAAGGCGACGAUCCGUAGAUGGUCUGAGAGGAUGAUAAGACACACUGGAACUGAGACACGGUACAGACACAGAAGGGAGGCAGAAGUGGGGAAUAUUGGACAAUGGGGGAAAGCAUGAUACAGCAAGACCGAGUGGGUGAAGAAGGACUUAGGGUUGUAAAGCCAUUUUGUUGGGAAAGAAAAGAAGCAGGUUAAUAACACGAUGUACUGACGGUAACCAAAGAAUAAGCACCGGCUAACUUCGUG